GAUGAACGCUGGCGGCGUGCCUAAUACAUGCAAGUCGAGCGAACGGACGAGAAGCUUGCUUCUCUGAUGUUAGCGGCGGACGGGUGAGUAACACGUGGAUAACCUACUUAUAAGACUGGGAUAACUUCGUGAAACCGGAGCUAAUACCGGAUAAUAUUUUGAACCGCAUGGUUCAAAAGUAAAAGACGGUCUUGCUGUCACUUAUAGAUGGAUCCGCGCUGCAUUAGCUAGUUGGUAAGGUAACGGCUUACCAAGGCAACGAUGCAUAGCCGACCUGAGAGGGUGAUCGGCCACACUGGAACUGAGACACGGUCCAGACUCCUACGGGAGGCAGCAGUAGGGAAUCUUCCGCAAUGGGCGAAAGCCUGACGGAGCAACACCGCGUGAGUGAUGAAGGUCUUCGGAUCGUAAAGCUCUGUUAUUAGGGAAGAACAUAUGUGUAAGUAACUGUGCACAUCUUGACGGUACCUAAUCAGAAAGCAACGGCUAACUACGUG
RNAcentral lists this ribosomal RNA (497 nucleotides) under uncultured bacterium. Its description in RNAcentral is "partial 16S ribosomal RNA". It matches the Rfam family "Bacterial small subunit ribosomal RNA", at positions 28 to 507 of the family's 1533-position model. The record is from RNAcentral.